RNAcentral lists this ribosomal RNA (504 nucleotides) under uncultured bacterium. RNAcentral describes it as "partial 16S ribosomal RNA". It matches the Rfam family "Bacterial small subunit ribosomal RNA", at positions 28 to 523 of the family's 1533-position model. The record is from RNAcentral.
GAUGAACGCUAGCGGCAGGCUUAAUACAUGCAAGUCGAGGGGCAGCAUGACUGUAGCAAUACAGUUGAUGGCGACCGGCAAACGGGUGCGGAACACGUACAGAACCUUCCUUCGAGCGGGGAAUAGCCCAGAGAAAUUUGGAUUAAUACCCCAUAGUAUUACGGAGUGGCAUCACUUUGUAAUUAAAGAUUUAUCACUUGAAGAUGGCUGUGCGGCUGAUUAGGUAGUUGGCGGGGUAACGGCCCACCAAGCCUGCGAUCAGUAACUGGUGUGAGAGCACGACCAGUCGCACGGGCACUGAGACACGGGCCCGACUCCUACGGGAGGCAGCAGUAAGGAAUAUUGGUCAAUGGACGAAAGUCUGAACCAGCCAUGCCGCGUGAAGGAUGAAGGUCCUCUGGAUUGUAAACUUCUUUUAUAUGGGACGAAAAAAGGCUUUUCUAAGUCGUCUGACGGUACCAUAUGAAUAAGCACCGGCUAACUCCGUGCCAGCCGCCGCGGUAA